RNAcentral lists this long non-coding RNA (361 nucleotides) under Gallus gallus (chicken). The record is from RNAcentral. Lineage: Eukaryota; Metazoa; Chordata; Aves; Galliformes; Phasianidae.
GGCAGCUCGGAAGCGGGGCUGAGACCGGGCAGCUCGUUGCACGCGUGGUGAUGGUGUAAAGACGGGGUGCUGUGCCCGGCUCUGGGGGUUGGUGACGUGGGGAGGUGGCCAUCCAUGUGUUGUCCCCAUGCAGGUUCCAGAAGCACGUCCACACCUACCGCAUCCUGCCUGAUGAGGAGGACUUCUUGGCCGUGCAGGUGGGCGCUGUGGGGACAGAUGGGGACACCCCGAGGCCAUCAGUGCAGGGGGGUCUGGGCAGUGUGGUCACCCCAUCCCCACCUGGGGACAGAUGGGGACACCCCAUGGCCACCCCUCCAGAGGGAUCUGGGCACCAUGGUCACCCCAUUUCCACCCUGGGGAC